This 517-nucleotide long non-coding RNA is filed under the name Homo sapiens (human). RNAcentral's name for it is "HSALNT0209431". The record is from RNAcentral. Lineage: Eukaryota; Metazoa; Chordata; Mammalia; Primates; Hominidae.
CGCGAGGCGGGCGCUGGGCGGCGCCAGCAGCCCUGUGGUGGCGACGACGAUGGACCAGGAGCCAGUGGGCGGUGUGGAACGAGGAGAAGCCGUCGCAGCCUCGGGAGCUGCGGCCGCCGCGGCAUUCGGGGAAUCUGCAGGGCAGGUAGGUGGGGCCGCCGAGGCUGACGUCCGGGGAGCCGAGCCGCCUCCUUGCCUUCUCCGCGGGCCGCUCUUUUAGCCUGCGCGGCCGUCCUCCGAGCAGGCCGCCCCAGCUUUGGAGUUCCUCCUCACUGCACCCCUGUUUCUGCUCACUGAGACCAGCUUGUGGGAAGGAGCGCCCCCCGCCUCACUCACCAACCCCUUGGCUGGCAGCACAGCAGACUCUGGGGCGGCCUCGGGUUCCUGGGGUGAUAGUCCAGCUUCUGGUCUACCAGAGGAAGAAGAAAGGCGUGUCCCCCAAAGGCUGUCCUUGCAGUAGCUGGAAGCCAGAUGAGUAACGAAAGAGGCUUUGAAAAUGUAGAACUGGGAGUCAUAG